Long non-coding RNA from Syzygium oleosum, 1027 nucleotides. RefSeq lists it as uncharacterized. Lineage: Eukaryota; Viridiplantae; Streptophyta; Magnoliopsida; Myrtales; Myrtaceae. The transcript has 2 exons. The record is from RefSeq and is a predicted model, not a curated record.
AGGAAACUUCUGAACCACAGGUCUUGUGGACUAAAGUAAAACGACUUUCUCGACCCUCUAUAGCUAUAUAGCUACUUAACUCUGGGGUUGCUUUUCAGCCCAAAAAAAGGAAAAAAAGAAAAAGGAAAGAAACUUGGUGAUUACUACUUACUAGUGCAUUCCUUAUUCACUGGGACAGUGGCUUGAGUUAGAGGUGGAGGAGGUGCAAUGCGAGGGCGCAGAUAAUUCAUAUGAACAGAGAAAAGGAGUGGAAACUCAACAGGUCUAAGUAAAGCUACGCCUCGGUGUUUUUGUAACUGAUGCACAGGAUGAUUGCAUGAGAUGAAGGACCCAGACCUCCAGCUUCAGUGGUGAUAAGGUCAAAGACAAUUCAUUGCUUCGGCGACCGUUUUAACAAUUGCAUUCUUCUCACUGCAUGGAAUAAGGACAAGGUGCGCCACGACCCGUCAGUCCCUUGCAAAUCUUUAGAUAUGGAAACGGAUGGUUGUGCUGGACACCAAGGAGUCUGAACUUUUUGCAAAAUCAGUCUUCAUACUUCUUCCUGUAUAUAUUUGUGAACUAAGAAGCAUCAUCUGAUAAUCACUUCUGUAGAAGAGGGUUGAUGGGUUUAGAAUUCCCGAAUUUUUGGGAAUAUCACUUUCAAAUUGAGGAUAAAGUGUGAUUUGCUUUUUCAUCAAGUUUGGUGAAAGACAAAUAAUCUGGCCAUUAUACCAAAACGAAUGUCCAACCACUUCUACUAGAGUAUGAUGGACUGUUACUUCUAAUGUGUCGUUGAUGACCACGAGUCCUCGACCGUUCUUUUCGAAAGACAAAAUGAAGAUGGGUGUUCGAGCAGAGUUAUGGUGCUGAAAUAGGAACAGUGGGUCAUAUGAAGCAAUUGACAUACUCCGAUUAAGUGAAGGAAUAUUACCUAAUUCCAUUUGUAGAAUCUACUUUGCUGCUCUAGAAUUGUAGUAUUCUGAAGAUAUAAGUCAGUCAAAAUUGAGCACGAUCUACAAUGAUUCAUUACCUUCUAAUGUUUUGAUUA